GACGAACGCUGGCGGCGUGCUUAACACAUGCAAGUCGUACGGUAAGGCCCUUUCGGGGGUACACGAGUGGCGAACGGGUGAGUAACACGUGAGUAACCUGCCCACAACUUUGGGAUAACGCUAGGAAACUGGUGCUAAUACUGGAUAUGUGCUCCUGCUGCAUGGUGGGGGUUGGAAAGCUCCGGCGGUUGUGGAUGGACUCGCGGCCUAUCAGCUUGUUGGUGGGGUAGUGGCCUACCAAGGCGGCGACGGGUAGCCGGCCGGAGUGGGUGACCGGCCAAAUUGGGAUUGGGUUGCGGCCCGAGCUCCAGGGGGGGGCAACAGUGGGGAAGAUUGCACAAGGGGCGCAGGCCUGAGGAAGCACCUCCGGGGGCGGGAGUGCGGCCUUCGGGGUGUAAACCGCGUCCAACAGGGGAGAAGCUUUUUGUGACGGAACCUGCAGAAGAAGCACCGGCUAACUACGU
This 464-nucleotide ribosomal RNA is filed under the name uncultured bacterium. RNAcentral describes it as "partial 16S ribosomal RNA". It matches the Rfam family "Bacterial small subunit ribosomal RNA", at positions 28 to 506 of the family's 1533-position model. The record is from RNAcentral.